UGAGGAAUUUUGCACAAUGGGCGAAAGCCUGAUGCAGCAAUGCCGCGUGAAGGAUGAAGGUCUUCGGAUUGUAAACUUCUUUUGUAAAGGAAGAUUAUGACGGUACUUUACGAAUAAGAGACUGCUAACUACGUGCCAGCAGCAGCGGUAAUACGUAGGUCUCAAGCGUUAUCCGGAUUUAUUGGGCGUAAAGGGUCCGCAGGCGGAUUGUUAAGUUUGGUAUUAAAGCUCACGGCUCAACCGUGAAUCUGUAUCGAAAACUGGCAAUCUUGAGAGCAGGAGAGGUAGAUGGAACUCAUGGUGUAGGGGUAAAAUCCGUUGAUAUCAUGAGGAACACCGAAAGCGAAGGCAGUCUACUGGCCUGUCUCUGACGCUCAGGGACGAAAGCGUGGGGAGCGACCGGG
This 404-nucleotide ribosomal RNA is filed under the name uncultured bacterium. Its description in RNAcentral is "bacterial SSU rRNA". It matches the Rfam family "Bacterial small subunit ribosomal RNA", at positions 355 to 776 of the family's 1533-position model. The record is from RNAcentral.